GGAUAUGGUUUAAUGGAUAAAACAUCACAUUGUGGUUGUGAAAAUCCGGGUUCGAUUCCCAGUAUCC
Molecule: transfer RNA, 67 nt
Filed under: Bigelowiella natans
Lineage: Eukaryota; Cercozoa; Chlorarachniophyceae
Also listed under: 1 other name
Rfam family: tRNA
About the family: Transfer RNA (tRNA) molecules are approximately 80 nucleotides in length. Their secondary structure includes four short double-helical elements and three loops (D, anti-codon, and T loops). Further hydrogen bonds mediate the characteristic L-shaped molecular structure. tRNAs have two regions of fundamental functional importance: the anti-codon, which is responsible for specific mRNA codon recognition, and the 3' end, to which the tRNAs corresponding amino acid is attached (by aminoacyl-tRNA synthetases). tRNAs cope with the degeneracy of the genetic code in two manners: having more than one tRNA (with a specific anti-codon) for a particular amino acid; and 'wobble' base-pairing, i.e. permitting non-standard base-pairing at the 3rd anti-codon position.
Source: RNAcentral